Molecule: small RNA, 148 nt
Filed under: Papio anubis (olive baboon)
Lineage: Eukaryota; Metazoa; Chordata; Mammalia; Primates; Cercopithecidae
Description: Metazoan signal recognition particle RNA (ENSPANG00000041441.1)
Source: Rfam by way of RNAcentral
GCUGGGCGUGGUGGUGCAUGCCUGUAAUCCCAGCUACUUGGGAGGCUGAGGCAGGAGAAUCACUUGAACCCGGGAGGCAGAGGUUGCAGUGAGCCAAGAUCGUGCCAUUGCACUCCAGCCUGGGUGACAGAGUAAGACUCUGUCUCAA